This 497-nucleotide ribosomal RNA is filed under the name uncultured bacterium. Its description in RNAcentral is "partial 16S ribosomal RNA". It matches the Rfam family "Bacterial small subunit ribosomal RNA", at positions 28 to 507 of the family's 1533-position model. The record is from RNAcentral.
GAUGAACGCUGGCGGCGUGCCUAAUACAUGCAAGUCGAGCGAACGGACGAGAAGCUUGCUUCUCUGAUGUUAGCGGCGGACGGGUGAGUAACACGUGGAUAACCUACCUAUAAGACUGGGAUAACUUCGGGAAACCGGAGCUAAUACCGGAUAAUAUUUUGAACCGCAUGGUUCAAAAGUGAAAGACGGUCUUGCUGUCACUUAUAGAUGGAUCCGCGCUGCAUUAGCUAGUUGGUAAGGUAACGGCUUACCAAGGCAACGAUGCAUAGCCGACCUGAGAGGGUGAUCGGCCACACUGGAACCGAGACACGGUCCAGACUCCUACGGGAGGCAGCAGUAGGGAAUCUUCCGCAAUGGGCGAAAGCCUGACGGAGCAACGCCGCGUGAGUGAUGAAGGUCUUCGGAUCGUAAAACUCUGAUAUUAGGGAAGAACAUAUGUGUAAGUAACUGUGCACAUCUUGACGGUACCUAAUCAGAAAGCCACGGCUAACUACGUG